This 218-nucleotide ribosomal RNA is filed under the name Listeria fleischmannii subsp. fleischmannii LU2006-1. RNAcentral's name for it is "partial 16S ribosomal RNA". It matches the Rfam family "Bacterial small subunit ribosomal RNA", at positions 1323 to 1533 of the family's 1533-position model. Lineage: Bacteria; Bacillati; Bacillota; Bacilli; Caryophanales; Listeriaceae. The record is from RNAcentral.
AGGCCGGAAUCGCUAAAUCGCGGAUCAGCAUGCCGCGGUGAAUACGUUCCCGGGCCUUGUACACACCGCCCGUCACACCACGAGAGUUUGUAACACCCGAAGUCGGUAGGGUAACGCUUAGGCGAGCCAGCCGCCGAAGGUGGGACAGAUAAUUGGGGUGAAGUCGUAACAAGGUAGCCGUAUCGGAAGGUGCGGCUGGAUCACCUCCUUUCUAAGGA